Molecule: ribosomal RNA, 459 nt
Filed under: uncultured bacterium
Lineage: Bacteria
Description: partial 16S ribosomal RNA
Rfam family: Bacterial small subunit ribosomal RNA
Source: RNAcentral
CCUACGGGGGGCAGCAGUGAGGAAUAUUGGUCAAUGGCCGCAGGGCUGAACCAGCCAAGUCGCGUGAGGGAUGACGGUCCUAUGGAUUGUAAACCUCUUUUGUCAGGGAGCAAAGGGCGCCACGUGUGGCGCUUUGCGAGUACCGGAAGAAAAAGCAUCGGCUAACUCCGUGCCAGCAGCCGCGGUAAUGUGGAGGAUGCGAGCGUUAUCCGGAUUUAUUGGGUUUAAGGGGUGCGCAGGCGGAAUGUCAAGUCAGCGGUAAAAUUUCGGGGCUCAACCCCGACGUGCCGUUGAAACUGGCAUUCUUGAGUGUGCGAGAGGUAUGCGGAAUUCGUGGUGUAGCAGUGAAAUGCGUAGAGAUCACGCAGAACUCCGAUUGCGAAGGCAGCAUACCGGCGCCCAACUGACGCUGAAGCGCGAAAGCGUGGGUAGCGAACAGGAUUAGAUACCCUUGUAGUC